UAGACGGAGAGUUUGAUCCUGGCUCAGGGUUAACGCUGGCGGCGCGCCUGAUACAUGCAAGUCGAGCGAGGGCUCAUUUCUCGCAAGAGAGAUGGGUUCCUAGCGGCGAACGGGUGAGUAACACGUGGGCAACCUUUCCCAAAGUGGGGGAUAACAUCGAGAAAUCGGUGCUAAUACCGCAUGUGGUCAUCGAAGACAUCUUUGAUGAAAAAAGCAGCAAUGCGCUUUGGGGUGGGCCCGCGGCCUAUCAGCUUGUUGGUGGGGUAACGGCCUACCAAGGCAUUGACGGGUAGCUGGUCUGAGAGGACGACCAGCCACACGGGGACUGAGACACGGCCCCGACUCCUACGGGAGGCAGCAGUAAGGAAUCUUCCGCAAUGGGCGAAAGCCUGACGGAGCGACGCCGCGUGUGGGAUGAAGUCUUUCGGGAUGUAAACCACUGUCGGAGGGGAAGAGAACGGACGGUACCCUCCAAGAAAGCCCCGGCUAACUACGUGCCAGCAGCCGCGGUAAUACGUAGGGGGCAAGCGUUACUCGGAUUUACUGGGCGUAAAGCGCGUGUAGGCGGCUGGUCAAGAGUGAUGUGAAAUCUCCGGGCUCAACCCGGAAACUGCAUCGCUAACUGGCCUGGCUAGAGUGCAGGAGAGGGCAGUGGAAUUCACGGUGUAGCGGUGGAAUGCGUAGAUAUCGUGAGGAACACCAGUGGCGAAGGCGACUGCCUGGCCUGUAACUGACGCUGAGACGCGAAAGCGUGGGGAGCGAACCGGAUUAGAUACCCGGGUAGUCCACGCCCUAAACGUUGCGAACUAGGUGUUGGCGAGAUUGACCUCGUCAGUGCCGCAGCUAACGCAUUAAGUUCGCCGCCUGGGAAGUACGGUCGCAAGAUUAAAACUCAAAGGAAUAGGCGGGGGCCCGCACAAGCAGCGGAGCGUGUGGUUUAAUUCGAUGCAACGCGAA
This 957-nucleotide ribosomal RNA is filed under the name Candidatus Dormiibacterota bacterium. Its description in RNAcentral is "bacterial SSU rRNA". It matches the Rfam family "Bacterial small subunit ribosomal RNA", at positions 1 to 965 of the family's 1533-position model. Lineage: Bacteria; Bacillati; Candidatus Dormiibacterota. The record is from RNAcentral.